Molecule: non-coding RNA, 91 nt
Filed under: unclassified sequences
Source: RNAcentral
GUCCUGAUUUAAUUAAUUACCUUCUCGUGGUUCAGGAUGUAAGUAAGAAUUGCAGUUUUUGACAUAAGACAAUUCUGAAACUAAAGAUUAA